Triticum aestivum (bread wheat) is the source of this 1978-nucleotide long non-coding RNA. RefSeq lists it as uncharacterized. The transcript is spliced from 8 exons. NCBI's taxonomy places the organism in Eukaryota, Viridiplantae, Streptophyta, Magnoliopsida, Poales, Poaceae. The record is from RefSeq and is a predicted model, not a curated record.
UUCUGGAAGCCGAAACCGUGGCCUGUGAUUGAUUGGGCCUUCUACCUCCGAAAGCCCAUUCUUUUAGCCUCGUUUUCCAGCCCAGUUUCGCCUUCUCAGUUAUCACCUCACCUCAUCGCCUCCCCGAGGGCUCUCGUCCGAACGACCUAGGCAAAGCAGCCAUCCCCGACGUAGCGCCGCCGCUGAAGAAACCUGAAGCAGCGCCGCCGCUUCCCUCCUCUCUUCCUUGAUUGAUUGCUCCCUUUCUCCUUAGCCUACACGCUACCCUCCCCAUGCGGUCUUCCUGCCCCGCUGCUCUAUGCCAGUGGAAGGUGAGAGGAUGAGGACCGAGGGAUGGGAAGGCGAGUCGAGGCGUAACAGGCGGACUCUUGCCAGUUGCCAAUAUCUUCCUCCUCGUCGCGCAGCUGUUCCAUGACCUCGACCUCGAGCGUCGGUGCCCACGAUGGGCAGCACGCCUGUUGAACCCACUAAUGGAAUAGAUGCACUAUCUGUUCUGAUUAUUACCGUCUUCUUUUCCGUGUCGCCCGCAGUACCUACAAGACACCGAUAUGGAAGGCUUCAAGGACACGUACCCGGAUGACCUUCUUACUCUAUCCUUAAGCUGUUCUGGACAAAACUGGAAUCCACCCAGGUGAUAUCGGUGACGCUGUAGUCGGGACGAUGCUAGGCCCAGAUUCCCAGCGUGCAAUCGAAUGCAGGACUGCAUCUUUGUUGGCUGGAGUUCCACAAACUAUUCCUAUGAGAACAGUAAAGUGUGAACGGACAAUGCUCAUCUGGGUGGCAGUAUGCAAGAAUUGAUAUGAAUGUGACAGUGUAUUUGAAUUUUGGGCAAGACUGGUGAGUCAUCGUCAAUCUCAGGAGAUUAAUGAGCUAGAAGACUACCAACUCAAUAUGUAUAUGUAUUACUUUACAAUGAAAAACGACCACAACUAUCAACUAAGGAGAAGGGGCUCAGUCUGUAAAUCGUUGCCUUCAGAUGCUGCUGGAUUCAAAACUUCGAGUGGCAAGCAGGAGUGAUAUGCCUGAUUGUUGUGGAGUUCAACUUCACUAUGAAUUAGGACACAGAGCUAGGUGACAAUACAAAUUGAUGUUGAAUGCGCGAGGCAGGGAGUGGGUAUCUAGGAAGAAUGAAUUUAAAGGAAUCGAUGCAAUGAUAAUGUCGGUACAAUGGCAGCUCCAAAUUUCUAUAGAAGCAUAAUGAGAAGGAAUGAUGUACUGUACUAGUAAUAUUCAGGGAAGUGUCCCAAAACAGUAUAGUUCAGUGAAAAACCGUAUAUUUGAUGGACCAUUCAAAUUUCGACAUGAUAUUAGAAGUGCAAUAUUCACUUUUCACUUUCUAAUUCAUAUUUAUUUAUUUUUAUAUUCCAUAUGAAUUCUAAACUGCAUAUUCUGUACUGUGUUGUUCAAGGUAGAGUCCUUCAUAUCCGAUGACAUCACCUUGAUGCGAGAUGGGAUAUAAAUACUAAAAUAGCAUGUAAAUAACAUUACCAUAGUUAUUUACCUAUUGAAGCUGGACAGCAUUGUGUUUUUUUGGUCCAGUAUUUUUUCGCGUGUAGCAAUUGGUUAUAUAUCUUCUGCGCCUUUAUAUUUGCAUGUAUCCUUAAAGCUGGUUAUUUUUCCUUGAGAUGAGACUGCAGGGAAGGGCUCACAGCUGGAAGUGUCGAGUACUAUAUCACUUUGGGGGAAAUCGAACCAUAAGGGAGAGAGAGCUAUGUGCUUCUGUGGUGGGCAGGGUCUAACAACGAAACCAUCCCAUCCUGUUGUGGUUGUUGGCCGCUUCGUGUUUGCCUCUUUCAGGAGAACGAUCUGUAAUGCGCAAGUCCCUUUCAAGGCUUAUCCAUCCUCGUUGCCAUACACCUCACCGGGGUUGCUCCAACGACGGAACCGUCCAUCACAGCGGAGCAGUACCCUCAGCGCCGUUUCCAGAGGCCUCGUAUCUUCUUCCCCGCCUCCGACAGUCACACCAGCAUCAUCAUCC